Molecule: ribosomal RNA, 447 nt
Filed under: uncultured bacterium
Lineage: Bacteria
Description: partial 16S ribosomal RNA
Rfam family: Bacterial small subunit ribosomal RNA
Source: RNAcentral
AGCGAACGCUGGCGGCAGGCUUAACACAUGCAAGUCGAACGCCCCGCAAGGGGAGAGGCAGACGGGUGAGUAACACGUGGGAACGUACCCUUUGGUUCGGAAUAACUUGGGGAAACUCAAGCUAAUACCGGAUAAGCCCUUAUGGGGGAAGGUUUACUGCCGAAGGAUCGGCCCGCGUCUGAUUAGCUAGUUGGUGAGGUAAUGGCUCACCAAGGCGACGAUCAGUAGCUGGUCUGAGAGGAUGAUCAGCCACACUGGGACUGAGACACGGCCCAGACUCCUACGGGAGGCAGCAGUGGGGAAUAUUGGACAAUGGGGGCAACCCUGAUCCAGCCAUGCCGCGUGAGUGAUGAAGGCCUUAGGGUUGUAAAGCUCUUUUACCCGGGACGAUAAUGACUGUACCGGGAGAAUAAGCCCCGGCUAACUUCGUGCCAGCCGCCGCUGUAA